AGUUCAAGCAGCAGUCGGAUUCUGUUGAGUGGAGUUUGAACCGGUAGUUUCUAGUAUUUUAAAAUUUCAGUGUAAUUUGCAAUGUGUUUUUUUUUUCAAAAUAACAUAUAUCCACGAUGGCUUUUAUAAUUGUUAGUUAACAUUCAUUAUCGAUCCAUAAUUGAAUUACAUAUACAAUUACAGUGUACGAUGUCUUCCGUAAAGGAUGAUGCGGUAGUUGUAAACUCACAACUGAGACACUCUGUGUCCACUCUUUGGUUCUUCCUCACCUUCGAAUUCUUAAUUAGCACCUUUCUGAGUAUUUUCCUGGCCAUUCUCACGUUCAUAAAAUCUUUAUUGCCGAAACCACCCAGGGAUUUAACAGGAGACAUAAUUUUGAUUGCCGGCGUUUCUUCCUCAUUAGGCGAGUCUUUGGCGAGUGAAUUUUUAAAAAACGGUUGUUCCGUGAUUUGCGUGGACAAAGAUUCGAAAACGAUCGAGGAAACGGUAUCCAGAUUGAAGCAACGACAUUUGAUCGUCGAGGCGAGAUCGCAGAGGAGGAACGAAUCGUCGCGAUCCGGAUCGAUGAUAUUCACUUACGAGUGUGAUUUCUUGGAUAAAGAUGCGAUUAGAGGGACCGUUCAAAAAGUGAAAAAAGAUAUUGGAAGAAUCGACGUUCUGAUUACUUGCAUCAACGAAUCGAACGAGAAUAUCUUCGACGCGAGUAGCAGGACAUUGAUGGCCCAUUUCUGGACAGUUUUGACGUUUCUUCCAAUGAUGUUGUAUCAAAAACGAGGCCAUAUAAUUGGUGUUACUCCAAUCUCAUUGAACAGCGACGCUUAUCAUAGCUCCAGAGCGGCUAUAAUGUAUUUCAUAGAAAGUAUGCGUCAAGAAUUGAGCGAGCACAGCAGUUACUUAACAUUUUUGGCAUAUUCUCCAAUUGCAAAAUCCAGCUCAUUGAAGCAAAGUGAAGAAGAAGUAAGCAAGAACAUAGUAAGAGCAGUGAAGACUGAUCAGUAUAAUGUGAGCUGGACGUUCAAACUAUUGUAUCAAAUAGGUUGCAUAAUCUACAAUGGAAUAACGUUGCUCACAAACUGGAUCGACUUUAACAGAUGCGAUUAUCCCACGUGAAAAACGAGUUUUUCCUCAUCCUUCUCUGGUAGAAUCAAAGAUUGAAUAGAAGAUGGUCUAUGAACGACGAUAUAAUACACAGCCUAAAAAAAAUUCACUUAAAAAUUUGUUUCACUUCGAUGAAAAAGUAGCUAAAGGUAUCCAAUCAGUUUGUUGAACACCGGAAACGUGGAUGUAGAAGUCUCCGCGGUCCAGAUGCAAUUCGUUUCUGAAUCGAUUGUACUUUUUCGCAUUCUUGGGCAGCGACGAGCGACGUACACAUUUAUCUAUCAAU
Apis laboriosa (Himalayan honeybee) is the source of this 1384-nucleotide RNA transcript. It is a transcript of the gene named retinol dehydrogenase 10-A-like, with no coding region annotated. The transcript is spliced from 8 exons. The record is from RefSeq and is a predicted model, not a curated record. NCBI's taxonomy places the organism in Eukaryota, Metazoa, Arthropoda, Insecta, Hymenoptera, Apidae.